This 1353-nucleotide ribosomal RNA is filed under the name uncultured bacterium. RNAcentral's name for it is "bacterial SSU rRNA". It matches the Rfam family "Bacterial small subunit ribosomal RNA", at positions 28 to 1381 of the family's 1533-position model. The record is from RNAcentral.
GAUGAACGCUAGCUACAGGCUUAACACAUGCAAGUCGAGGGGCAGCAGGAUCUAGCAAUAGAUUGCUGGCGACCGGCGCACGGGUGAGUAACACGUAUCCAACCUGCCGAUAACUCGGGGAUAGCCUUUCGAAAGAAAGAUUAAUACCCGAUGGUAUAAUCAGACCGCAUGGUUUGAUUAUUAAAGAAUUUCGGUUAUCGAUGGGGAUGCGUUCCAUUAGGCAGUUGGUGAGGUAACGGCUCACCAAACCUUCGAUGGAUAGGGGUUCUGAGAGGAAGGUCCCCCACAUUGGAACUGAGACACGGUCCAAACUCCUACGGGAGGCAGCAGUGAGGAAUAUUGGUCAAUGGACGCGAGUCUGAACCAGCCAAGUAGCGUGAAGGAUGACUGCCCUAUGGGUUGUAAACUUCUUUUAUAUGGGAAUAAAGUUUUCCACGUGUGGAAUUUUGUAUGUACCAUAUGAAUAAGGAUCGGCUAACUCCGUGCCAGCAGCCGCGGUAAUACGGAGGAUCCGAGCGUUAUCCGGAUUUAUUGGGUUUAAAGGGAGCGUAGGUGGACAGUUAAGUCAGUUGUGAAAGUUUGCGGCUCAACCGUAAAAUUGCAGUUGAUACUGGCUGUCUUGAGUACAGUAGAGGUGGGCGGAAUUCGUGGUGUAGCGGUGAAAUGCUUAGAUAUCACGAAGAACUCCGAUUGCGAAGGCAGCUCACUGGACUGCAACUGACACUGAUGCUCGAAAGUGUGGGUAUCAAACAGGAUUAGAUACCCUGGUAGUCCACACAGUAAACGAUGAAUACUCGCUGUUUGCGAUAUACAGUAAGCGGCCAAGCGAAAGCAUUAAGUAUUCCACCUGGGGAGUACGCCGGCAACGGUGAAACUCAAAGGAAUUGACGGGGGCCCGCACAAGCGGAGGAACAUGUGGUUUAAUUCGAUGAUACGCGAGGAACCUUACCCGGGCUUAAAUUGCAUUUGAAUAAUCUGGAAACAGGUUAGCCGCAAGGCAAAUGUGAAGGUGCUGCAUGGUUGUCGUCAGCUCGUGCCGUGAGGUGUCGGCUUAAGUGCCAUAACGAGCGCAACCCUUAUCUUUAGUUACUAACAGGUCAUGCUGAGGACUCUAGAGAGACUGCCGUCGUAAGAUGUGAGGAAGGUGGGGAUGACGUCAAAUCAGCACGGCCCUUACGUCCGGGGCUACACACGUGUUACAAUGGGGGGUACAGGAGGCAGCUACCUGGUGACAGGAUGCUAAUCCCAAAAGCCUCUCUCAGUUCGGAUCGAAGUCUGCAACCCGACUUCGUGAAGCUGGAUUCGCUAGUAAUCGCGCAUCAGCCAUGGCGCGGUGAAUACGUUCCCGGGCCU